CCACAUCGUCUUCAAAUCUGUCCAGCCAAGUGCAGUAAUGCAGAUUCCCUCAAGCGGGGGGCCAAUUCAGGAUCAUCACAACUUCAAUUUGGCAUUUCCGAGCGCAACCGCGAAAACCCUUUUGGAAGUCGAUCUGACCCAGACUAGCAGCGCUAUAUUCACACCUGCAAACAGGGCCAUUUUUAUCACAUCUGUAAUCACCGUCGUGGAUGCUGCUGGCUUCGAUGGCGUCAACAUUUUGUGGUCGCAAAGCCAAGAAAAUAACCAAAACAAGAUAGGAUUCACAGCUCUCAUGCAGGUCUGAUCUUGGACAUUGUCCCCUUCGAAACG
This is a long non-coding RNA of Hippocampus comes (tiger tail seahorse), 330 nucleotides long. RefSeq lists it as uncharacterized. NCBI's taxonomy places the organism in Eukaryota, Metazoa, Chordata, Actinopteri, Syngnathiformes, Syngnathidae. The record is from RefSeq and is a predicted model, not a curated record. The transcript is spliced from 3 exons.